This 876-nucleotide ribosomal RNA is filed under the name uncultured crenarchaeote. RNAcentral's name for it is "bacterial SSU rRNA". It matches the Rfam family "Archaeal small subunit ribosomal RNA", at positions 21 to 903 of the family's 1478-position model. The record is from RNAcentral. Lineage: Archaea; Thermoproteati; Thermoproteota.
ACCUGACUGCUAUCGGAUUGAUACUAAGCCAUGCGAGUCAUUGUAGCAAUACAAGGCAUACGGCUCAGUAACGCGUAGUCAACCUAACCUAUGGGCGGGAAUAACCUCGGGAAACUGAGAAUAAUGCCCGAUAGAACAUUAUACCUGGAAUGGUUUAUGUUCCAAAUGAUUUAUCGCCAUAGGAUGGGACUGCGGCCUAUCAGUUUGUUGGUGAGGUAAUGGCCCACCAAGACUAUUACAGGUACGGGCUCUGAGAGGAGUAGCCCGGAGAUGGGUACUGAGACACGGACCCAGGCCCUAUGGGGCGCAGCAGGCGAGAAAACUUUGCAAUGUGCGAAAGCACGACAAGGUUAAUCCGAGUGAUUUCUGCUAAAGAGAUCUUUUGUUAGUCCUAGAAACACUAACGAAUAAGGGGUGGGCAAGUUCUGGUGUCAGCCGCCGCGGUAAAACCAGCACCUCAAGUGGUCAGGAUGAUUAUUGGGCCUAAAGCAUCCGUAGCCGGCUCUGUAAGUUUUCGGUUAAAUCUGUACGCUCAACGUACAGGCUGCCGGGAAUACUGCAGAACUAGGGAGUGGGAGAGGUAGACGGUACUCGGUAGGAAGUGGUAAAAUGCUUUGAUCUAUCGAUGACCACCUGUGGCGAAGGCGGUCUACCAGAACACGUCCGACGGUGAGGGAUGAAAGCUGGGGGAGCAAACCGGAUUAGAUACCCGGGUAGUCCCAGCUGUAAACUAUGCAAACUCAGUGAUGCAUUGGCUUGUGGCCAAUGCAGUGCUGCAGGGAAGCCGUUAAGUUUGCCGCCUGGGAAGUACGUACGCAAGUAUGAAACUUAAAGGAAUUGGCGGGGGAGCACCACAAGGGGUGAAGCCUGCGGUUC